Molecule: long non-coding RNA, 952 nt
Filed under: Nicotiana benthamiana
Lineage: Eukaryota; Viridiplantae; Streptophyta; Magnoliopsida; Solanales; Solanaceae
Description: long non-coding RNA (NBEN_LNC014926)
Source: RNAcentral
GUUGUUUAGGAUUUCAAGGCUUCUAUCCUGAAAGAGCUUUGGUUCACCAACAAAGUGUUUCGCAAUGUGGUAAAGCAAAGUCGCACAAGCAUCCUCUCUGACUUCAGACUCUGAUGAGUCCAUAUCACUACCAGAUUUAACCGUAGUUAUAAUAGUGGUAGCAUUGAGGAUGUUUAGCUUAAGUUCUUCGGUGACAUAAUUAUCCCACCAAUACCUAAGCAUUCCGGUGAAGCCAGCUGUGAUCAUUGCAGCUGCUUCUUUGUCUGAAGAAUUACGCAGCUUAUAGCUGGUAAUACAAACACCCAUUUCGUGUAGAACACGAUAGAGUCUGAAGAAUUACACAGCUUAUAGCUGGUAAUACAAACACACAUUUCGUGUAGAACACGAUAGAUUUGAUGUUCAGCAAGACCAUCAAUAUUCCAUUCGACUAUGCCUCUACCAUCAUGAGAUGAUUGAGACUGGAAUCCAUCUUCCUCAUACUGAGUAUCAGGAAAGGAGGGUCGUUUGUAAUAGUUUCUCCUAUUAGGAUAACGAUCGGAAAGUUUAUGCAGGGAGUUAUCAGUUAGAGUACGGACACUCUCAGAAGUGGAAGGUUUAUCUUCCUUAGUAGAUGGAGCACCCGAAGCUUUAGGGCCCUAUUAGGAUAUCGAUCGGAAAGUUUAUGGAGGGAGUUGUCAGUUAGGGUACGGACACUCUCGGAAGUGGAAGGUUUGCCUUCUUUAGGAGAACCAGAAGCUUCCUUGGAAGAGUUAGGAAUGAUUGGAGUUUUAGCCUUAUUUUUGUCAGUGACAUGAAAAUGGGCUAACUUUUCAGUUAUCUGUUCUACGAGCUUACCCGAGACAGAAAUAUUAUCAUUAAGUUUGGGAAACAUUUCCCUUCGAAAUUCAGGAGGCUUAAAAAUUGGAUUGGGCUCUAAAGUACUAUUUGUACUGGGUCUAGGAAUACUUAGACU